Molecule: non-coding RNA, 24 nt
Filed under: Arabidopsis thaliana (thale cress)
Lineage: Eukaryota; Viridiplantae; Streptophyta; Magnoliopsida; Brassicales; Brassicaceae
Source: RNAcentral
GCUUAAAGGUGUGUUUGUCUUAUC